Molecule: non-coding RNA, 45 nt
Organism: Bos taurus (domestic cattle)
Lineage: Eukaryota; Metazoa; Chordata; Mammalia; Artiodactyla; Bovidae
Source: Rfam
CAAAAGGCUCUUUUCAGAGCCAAAAAAAAAAAAAAAAAGAAUUUU